GAUGAAGAACGUAGCGAAAUGCGAUACGUAAUGUGAAUUGCAGAAUUCAGUGAAUCAUCGAGUCUUUGAACGCACAUUGCGCCCCCUGGUAUUCCGGGGGGCAUGUCUGUCCGAGCGUCAUUGCUGCCCUCAAGCCCGGCUUGUGUGUUGGGUCUCGUCCCCCUUCCCGGGGGGACGGGCCCGAAAGGCAGCGGCGGCACCGCGUCCGGUCCUCGAGCGUAUGGGGCUUUGUCACCCGCUCUGUAGGCCCGGCCGGCGCUUGCCGAUCAACCAAAACUUUUUUCCAGGUUGACCUCGGAUCAGGUAGGGAUACCCGCUGAACUUAAGCAUAUCAAUAAGCGGAGGA
This 346-nucleotide unclassified non-coding RNA is filed under the name soil metagenome. RNAcentral's name for it is "partial contains 5.8S ribosomal RNA, internal transcribed spacer 2, and large subunit ribosomal RNA". The stretch from base 1 to 120 matches the Rfam family "5.8S ribosomal RNA", at positions 35 to 154 of the family's 154-position model. The record is from RNAcentral.